UCACAAAAAUUCAUUUUCCUUUGUCCCCAAAAAAUUAAACCCCAAUUUCCCCCCACAAAAAUUCACUUCCCUCCAUCUCCAAAACAAAUAAAUCCCAAAAACUUCCUCUCAUCUUCCAAACACCUCUCCUCUCCACCGUCUGUCUGUCGUCUGCUGAACCUCGAAGCCAUCCACCUGAAGACCGGACGCAAUCGACGACCACCUCAACCUCACAUGGUUCCAGCCCUAAUCGACAAACCCUAAACUAAAAUUCAAAAUCACGGUUCCUAAACACAUUUGAAAAGGAAUGCCUAUAUCCAAGGUGUUUGCACAAAUAGAGUAAUAUCCAAGCAUCUAUGAUGUUGUUCCUGUCAAGUACUUUGAUGAGGAUCCAUUGAAGAUAGAUGUCAUUAUAAUCUUCCCGGAUCAUGGUUUUCAUCUUCGUUUUAAUCCACGGUUUCAGUUACUCUGUUGGCCCCUAUGUUGAAGCAUGUAAUGUUUAUGUUUUUCUCAGUAAUAUUAUCUUACAAUAGCAUCUUGUCUGAUUCUCCAGAUCUGUUAUUUUGGCCAUACAUAAUCAGAUAUUGAGAAUCACAAUGAGGUUUUGCCAGACCCUAUAAACUUGUUAUUGUGACUUCCAGCACAUUAAUAGUUAUAAACGGUGUUUUCGGUACCGGUUGGUACUGAGCUCCUCCCUAUAAAUUACUUCCCCGGUACCAGUACCCACUUUUGGGAAUUUUCGGUACGGUAUUUUCGGUACCGGUUGGUACUGAGCUCAUCCCUAUUAAAUGAACAUCCCUAAGGGGAGGCAAUAUGGGUCGGGUUGACAAGGGCGUAGUGGCUGCACGUGCUAGUGCUUCUAGCAUGAUUCUUUGCAAUGCUGAAGCUAAUAAAGAUGAAAUGAUAGCUGAUCUUCAUGUGAUGCCAGCGACACACAUCACUAUGCUGACGGGCUUCUUCUCUACGUCUACCUCAACUCUACCAUGUAACUAAGAUGCAUGUGGAGUUUUUUUUUCCUCCCAGGGGAAGUAAUUAUGGAACAAGGCAAUGCAGUUGAACAACUUUAUUUCAUAUGUCAUGGUGAGCUGGUAUAAUUUUCUUUUCUAUAGUAGUAUUUGAAGUGUUUUGUUUAAUUGAUUGUUUAUUGGUUGCUGGAAACUGUUAAAAUUCCUAGAGAUGUGAAGUCGAGCGAUAUAUUGUUGGAUUCUGCCUUUAAAACACGGAUUGCAAAUUUUGGACAUGCAAAGAUUUUGACCAAGCUGAAGCUUGGUCAGGCCAAUGCUAUGUCUCCUAUAGUUGGAAUAUCUAGUUACAUUUUUUCUUGCAAUUGCUAUGGUUUCUGGUUGCAAGUAUGAAUUGAAGACGUCAGUUUAGGUUUCAAGUAUGAAGACAUCCGUUUAGGAAGUUAUUGUAUAUCACUUUUAUCUUUAGGGACAUGUAUUUGUGUUACUUUAAAACUUUUGUAAAUUUAUGUGA
This is a long non-coding RNA of Helianthus annuus (common sunflower), 1455 nucleotides long. RefSeq lists it as uncharacterized. NCBI's taxonomy places the organism in Eukaryota, Viridiplantae, Streptophyta, Magnoliopsida, Asterales, Asteraceae. The transcript is spliced from 5 exons. The record is from RefSeq and is a predicted model, not a curated record.